AACCAUAGAAACCUGCGGAGUACCUGCGGAAGGAUCAUUACAGAGUUGCAAGACUCCCUAAACCAUUGUGAACGUUACCUAAACCGUUGCUUCGGCGGGCGGCCCGGGUCCUUCCCGGCGCCCCUCGGCCCUCGCGGGCGCCCGCCGGAGGUAAACCAAACUAUUGCAUUGUAUGGCCUCUCUGAGUCUUCUGUACUGAAUAAGUCAAAACUUUUAGCAACGGAUCUCAGAUCGGAAGAG
Molecule: unclassified non-coding RNA, 240 nt
Filed under: soil metagenome
Description: partial contains 5.8S ribosomal RNA, internal transcribed spacer 2, and large subunit ribosomal RNA
Source: RNAcentral